GUGGCCCAGCUGGCUCUGUUUGUCAGUGACCCAGACAAGGACAUCAGCUGGCAGGCCAGGGAGGGGACUUACCGGCUGUACCAGCUGCUGCUCCAACAGAGGAGUAAGAAACCCGCUGGCACACGGAACCCAAUAGGGGACUGAGAGUGACCACAGGUGGAUAAUGGAACCCCAGACAAUUUCUCUCAGCCUGACCCCAGCUGGAGGACAAGUCUCUCUCUGCCUAUGUUCUUCUCCACUCCACUGUGAAGCCACCAAUGGGAUUGGAAGGACACAGAAAUUGCAACCAGAAGGAUCAUAAGUGUCUCUCUCUCUCUCUCUUUUUCUUCUAGGGCUGACCAUACACAAGGCAGAAGAUCUGUGGUGCCACGACUGGCCCCGGGACAGCAGGCUUCUGGGCUAUAAGAACACAGUCAGGGUGGGGGAGGUCUUUGGAAAAUUCUUUUCUGAGGGGCAGAGAAAAUUCUUCCUCCAGACAGCAAUGCUGGCGAUCCAUGACCCCCUGCUCCGUGUCAGCCAGGCUGGGCUGCUCCUCACAUACUCCAUCCUGGGGGAAGCCCAGCAGCGGAUGGGGGACAAGCUGGAGGAUGUCACAGCCAAGGUGAUGUGUCAGCUGCGCAUCAUCCGGCACUUGCACCAGGUGCCCAGGCGCUGCAAGGGCUGCUCCUCAUCUGAUGCCCUUAAAGGUUCCCCUCCCAUGUUCAGCAACUCCCACUCCCUGCUGCAGGUACUCCUCAGUCUCACUGUAAAUGGGGGGCUAGUGGAAGAGGAAAUGGAGGCCCCUGUCACUGACAGAAACUCUCUCCCCUCUCUGUGGACCAGGGUCCUUCCCUCUGACCCCAAACUUCCUUCAUCUGGGGCAGGAGCUCUUCCCCUCACUCCCAUACCCCUCCCCUCUUUCCUUGCUCUGACCCCCAUCCCAUUCCCCAUGCUCCCACGCAGAGCUCUCCCUGCCCCAUAUGGCGCAGAAGGACCUUUGUGUCAGGGCUACAGACUGCCUGCCCAACUGAAGCUCAGGAAGCUCCACAUUUGAGGAGGUGAGGAUGGGACAGAGGCUCAGGGCCUGCUUCACCUCCUGCCCUUUAUUCUUCCUUUGGCCCUUCUAUGGGCUCUCAGAGGGUGACAUGAAUAGGAACCUCCCCCCCACUUGCCUUCUAGGCCCUGGGGUGUGUGACAGCCUCCCAGAU
Molecule: long non-coding RNA, 1187 nt
Organism: Mauremys mutica (yellowpond turtle)
Lineage: Eukaryota; Metazoa; Chordata; Testudines; Geoemydidae
Exons: 3
Source: RefSeq, a predicted model, not a curated record